GGGGUUCAAGUGAUGAUCGAUACGCAUAGUUCAAAUGAUUAAUUAUUUUAUGAUUAUAAAACUUUUUUAUAGUCUUUCGCUCCUAUCUGAUGAUACCC
Molecule: small nucleolar RNA, 98 nt
Organism: Erigeron canadensis
Lineage: Eukaryota; Viridiplantae; Streptophyta; Magnoliopsida; Asterales; Asteraceae
Product: small nucleolar RNA snR60/Z15/Z230/Z193/J17
Exons: 1
Source: RefSeq, a predicted model, not a curated record